RNAcentral lists this long non-coding RNA (3730 nucleotides) under Taeniopygia guttata (zebra finch). Its description in RNAcentral is "lncRNA (ENSTGUG00000024166.1)". Lineage: Eukaryota; Metazoa; Chordata; Aves; Passeriformes; Estrildidae. The record is from RNAcentral.
CAGGAGUAACAGUGGCUGCUCCCAUUCCUUUCCUCCCUGCCCCUCAGCUGCAAGCCAAGUUCAUGGAGCUUUUCAGAAAACUCAUCCCGUUUCUUUUUAGCCAUGCCUGCGAAUUUAUAUGUUAUGUCCUGACUUAUUGUAAGAGGCCGUCUGAAGACCCUCACUCAUUUGCCUGCCGAUUGCCACGAGAAGGAACUCCCUUCCCCCACUGCAGAUCCGGCUUGGAGAAGGCAACAGUGCAGGUGCAGCCGCUGUACCGUUCCGUUCUGUUCCGAACGAAGCCCGGCAAGAACUUGGCAAGAAGUUGGCAAGGACUUGGCGAAGACCCAGCGUGGACCCAGCACAGAGCGGCCUGCUGCAAUUCCUGCUUCACUCUCCACCUUUAAGCCCAAUGAACUGUUGGGGUGACCCUGGUGGUCUCUCACUGCAGACCCCUCAUCUGCCUCGUUACCACCGUGACAGACGGAGAUCAAGAACCCUCUCCCCAAGGACUGAGACUGAGAGUGGUGGGGGGGGAAUGACAUGACCUGUUCUUCUCCAGUAACUUCAAUGGACUUAUUCGUCAUUGUGUUUGUUCUGCCUGGAUGAGCAAUUUCAAUAGGCAUGUUCCCCCCUUUUUCCCUCUGUGGACUAUAACUGGACCCCUGGGUUGGGCAGGACUUUGGAGACUCUCCCCAACACAACAAGACGGAUCCCCAUCAUCCGGACCACUGAGGACCUCGCCUGUGUUGGUGAAAGAUCUGCCAUGUCUUGCAUUGAACCACAGGCGAGCUCUAAUUCAUCUGGUGAAACCUGCUCUCAGAUACACAAGUACUGAGAAACUCAUGAGAUCAUAUUCAGAUACAAAAAGGAUCCCAGAACAUUUUCCCACAGCUCUUGGAAGCUUCUGUUCAUUUCAAGCCAGUGGCACUUUAAAUGGCCUACCCCUUCUAGGAAAAAAGAGAAGAUUUAAAUCAGAACAGGACCUGUUAUGCAAUACAACAUUGCAUUAACACAAACACAACUACUUAAGGUUUGGCAGCUUGUGAUUAAUACCAAGCCUAGUCCACCUCCCAGGAAAGAUAAUUUCCAAUUGAUUUCUAUGGGUUUUGGCUCAGGCCCACACUGCACAUGCUGUGGAUUGUUCUUCUCAUCCUAGGCUCUCAGAAGUAGUAAACAAAUAGGAAUGAACUCAGAAGGGGAAGAAGUGUCCCAGUUUCUCCCUAUUUUUGCAUGGGCCAAUUCUAUGGGACUAGGUAACUUCCUGGUAUCCUUUAAUUUGAGGUCUUUUUUACAGUUUUGAGAGUAGCACUGUGACACAUUUGAAACAUCUAUUCUCUCAUGGCCAGCUGGCUUAGUAACCAUAAUAACCUUGUUCCACUGAAGUGCAGUAAAAAUAUAUAAAAGCCGCAAUUUCUCUGAUUCCAGGCUCCUACUGUGAAAAUAGCAAAAAGACCAAAGUCUUUUCUAGGGGAAAAAAAAAAAAAAAAGUAGAUAAAUUUUAAAUUUUCUGUGUUGCUGCUGCUCACUGAAAUUUCCUUCUGACAGCAGUUCAAUGGUAACAGAAUUGAGCAAUAUGCUCCACAGGAAAAGAUAACAAAGAAUCGAUGUCUAAACAAUUUCAGGAUCAUCUCUAAAUUUGAUGUCCAGCAGAUUAGUUUAUAUCAUAAUGGUUCCUUGGUCCUAUUUUAAGCAUCUUAGAGAAGGACACUUUGUAACCCAGUCAAAAUGCUUCCUUAUCAACAGAAAUCAAUAUCCAACAAGACAGCAAUGGCCUCUCCCAAAUUUUGUUAAUGCUCACUACAGGAGCACUUAAAAUAUUAAUCCCAGGGAACCCACUGCAAAAUUGAGCAAGUUUUAAAUAAUCCAGCAUGGUAAAAGGAGCUUCUAACAAUUCAUUAGGAAAAAAUAAGAUUACCUUUUCCUGGGAAGAGCCUGGAAAAAGGAGAUUGCUGGUUCUUCCUUCAUUCACACAGACCAACUAGUUCUGGGUGGCUGUGCCUGUUUGACUUGGUCUUGAGACAAGGCAACUCUCAACACCUCUUGGAAAUAUAAGAGAAUAGAUCAUAUAUAUCUCAUAUAUAUAUGCACACAUACACACACACUUUUAUAUAUAUAUAUAUGUUUGUGUGUGUGUGUCUGUUCUUCACAGACAUAUAUAUAUUCCUGUGUGCAUCGGGUAUCCUCACCUGUGUUUUUGGAGUAGGGCUCCUAGGACAAUGAUGUGCUUGAUUCCAUGCAUGGCACAUAAAUCUUCAUUGUAGUGGCUGGACAUAUUAACAUAUUAACAGCACAGCUACAGACACCUUAAAUGAUGGCCAAUACUGAGAAGUAGAUACUGACAAGCUGAGUAUUGCACACUGCUCUCUUCGAUUGAAUCAUCAUUGACUUGAUUUCAUCCUUCAUUAUACUCAUUCUUCUUAACAUUUUGCUGAAGUCCACUUUGCUUCUACUUACAACUUUCUGAUCCUUACAUUAGUGACCCUCAUCAGCUGGUGGAUUUUUUGAUUCAGAGCACCUCCAGCUACCUCUGUUACACUCUGCAAAUCUGCAUUCUAACUUACCUCUAUUCUCAUUUCCCUGAGGUUCAUUCCAUGCACCCCUCUUGCCCAGCUAUCCAUAACAGUAGCUGGACCUACAACACCCUAGUGCAGUUGUGUUCCUACUUUCCAGGACCUUGUAUCCAAUAGAGCAAAACACCAUGUCUUUAAAAUCCUCCCUCUCUUUUUCUAAAGCACCUGAGUGUGGCACCAGCUGACUGUCAGACAGUUUCCCAGUCUCAACAAAAGCCAAUACAGGAAAGAAAAAUGAAGCGAACUGGAAGAGAGGGAUCUGUCUGAGCCAAGCGUAAAGAAGCUCACAGCAGCUUGAAGAAGAAUGGAAGAAAUUAUCUGCUUUGUUGAUGUAUCAGACCAAAAACUAUUCAUCUUGCACGGCCUUUGCACAGAAAAGUGUUCACAAGGGGAAUGCUUCUCAUUCCUCUCCCUCUCUAAACCAGAAUGGAUGGGGCAUUCUUCUGCAAAUAUUGCAGGAAUAAAAAUGGAAUUCUCCUGUCCUGAUCAGCCAAGUACAUUUUUAUCUGUGGUGGCAGAAAAAAUUUAAUGCUGGAAAAAGUAUUGCACAAACUGCAGCUUAGUGGGAUUCAUAAUCACUCUUGUUUAUUGCCGAUUGUUUUAAAGGAUCUGGUGGAUCACUGGAAUUACUGAUGGGAUGGAGAAUAAAAGGGAUGAUUGUGUCAUAUGCUUGAGACAUAAAAGGUACAUAGAUUUACCUACCUGAUGUUCCAGGAUAGGCACUGAGUAAUUUUGUGCUGCCUAAUUUAGAAACAGACUCUGGUCUCUUUUCUCAAUUGCAAGGGUGAUUAAAUUCUGAGCUAAUUAAACUGCAUAGUAAUUACUUUGCUUGUUUUAAUGUGUCCUCUAAAAAUGGUACCAUUGUAUUUGUCAUACUGGUGAGUGCUUAUAAAAUGCUUCUCUUUUUUGCUGCUGCUGUUCAGAGGGAACUCCUGGGGGCUCCAAAACUUGCAUCCGUUGUUGCUUAGACACAUUUCUGCUGGGAGCCAGAUGACCCUGGGCAGCAAAGAAGCUGCAAGCACCAAUCAGGAAUGGAGAAGCUCCCAAAAAACUUGAAGAAAGGAACUCAGUGACCAAAUAAAAUUCUCCUGCUCAGCUGGUGAAUCUGGAAACAGCAAGAGAAGAAUAUUGUCUCCAUGAGGAGGGAACUGUGCGUGUCCUGGUGGAAGGUCAGCUUG